Molecule: ribosomal RNA, 301 nt
Filed under: uncultured bacterium
Lineage: Bacteria
Description: partial 16S ribosomal RNA
Rfam family: Bacterial small subunit ribosomal RNA
Source: RNAcentral
CAGCAGCCGCGGGAAUACGUAGGUGGCAAGCGUUGUCCGGAAUUAUUGGGCGUAAAGGGCUCGCAGGCGGUUUCUUAAGUCUGAUGUGAAAGCCCCCGGCUCAACCGGGGAGGGUCAUUGGAAACUGGGAAACUUGAGUGCAGAAGAGGAGAGUGGAAUUCCACGUGUAGCGGUGAAAUGCGUAGAGAUGUGGAGGGACACCAGUGGCGAAGGCGACUCUCUAGUCUGUAACUGACGCUGAAGCACGAAAGCGUGGGGAGCAAACAGGAUUAGAUACCCCCGUAGUCCCUGUCUCUUAUAC